RNAcentral lists this ribosomal RNA (274 nucleotides) under uncultured bacterium. RNAcentral's name for it is "partial 16S ribosomal RNA". It matches the Rfam family "Bacterial small subunit ribosomal RNA", at positions 523 to 796 of the family's 1533-position model. The record is from RNAcentral.
AUGCGGAGGGUGCAAGCGUUAUUCGGAAUCACUGGGCGUAAAGGACGCGUAGGCGGGUUGGCAAGUCAGAUGUGAAAUCCUACAGCUUAACUGUAGAACUGCAUUUGAAACUGCUAACCUAGAGUAUGGGAGGGGGAGAUGGAAUUAGUGGUGUAGGGGUAAAAUCCGUAGAUAUCACUAGGAAUACCGAAAGCGAAGGCGAUCUCCUGGAACAUAACUGACGCUAAGGCGUGAAAGCGUGGGGAGCAAACAGAAUUAGAAACCCUAGUAGUCC